Lactuca sativa (garden lettuce) is the source of this 1859-nucleotide non-coding RNA. NCBI's taxonomy places the organism in Eukaryota, Viridiplantae, Streptophyta, Magnoliopsida, Asterales, Asteraceae. The record is from RefSeq and is a predicted model, not a curated record.
AAACGCAUUGAUCACCACCAUUUCGCAUCUACGUCACCUACCGCCUUCUCCUCCGUCUACAAUGGCCUCGCCACGUUCUCUACCACCACCAUUAACCCUAUUCGUCACAUAUUCUCCCCAAUUUAAACAAAUGUCAAUCAACUGAACUGCAAAGAAUAAACACACACUUCGCAAAUGAGUUGCUCAUUCUUCGGUGUUUUUCAUGAUCUAAAAGCUUUUCCUUCUCCUCCGAUUGAUGGAUUGACGUUCUGGUUCCCGACGGUGGUACUACCAGUUCAUACAGAAAUGGCUUCAAUUUCUUCGAGUCCUCGUACAGUAGAAGAGAUUUUUAAAGAUUAUAGCGGUUGUCAUGUCGGGAUAGUUCGUGCUUUAACUCAUGGUGGCAAUUGCAACAGCUGCCAAAGCAAAAGUUCUUCUUGGGAGCUGAAAAGAGUGAACAAGGAUUUCAAUUCUGCAAAAAAAAAAAAAAAAAAAAAAACUAUGUUGUAAGCUGGAAGAAGGCAGUAAAAUUCCCCGAGAGGUUAAUGAAAAGGAAAAUAGCGACCACCCUACACCUAAUGAUGAUAACAUGAUACAUAUCCAACUUGAGAUGUUAUUAGAAGAAAAAUGAAGAGAAUUCAGUAUGGGCACAUGAGAACAUGCAUUUGAGAGAUAUAAUUGAAUUCCACCAACUCAUCAUGCAAGAUUUGGUGUGUUGAGAUGAAGCCACCUAAGAUGUUCAAAUUGACAUAUCUAACCCUGCUUCUGUUUAUGCAUAUACUUGGUCCCACCCAAAGAAACCUCCCAACGACCAUGACUUACUACUUGUAGGAGUGCAUUAUCUAUGCUAAAAAGAACAUCUUUAGUUGAAAAAUCAAGACAUGAGCCUCCUGAAAAAUGUGAGUUAUAACAGAUGGAAAGCUAUAUUACCUCAAUAGCCUUUUGAUACCACUUAUCUUUGUGUCCUUUAUCAUAAAUUUAACAUUUAUUUAACCUACCAGACUAUGAAAAGCUGUAUUUAUUGUGUUGACCCUUCACUCGCUUCAUGUGGAGUUACUAUUGUAAAACAACUCGCUCAAGUUGAUUGUCAUGUCCUCGAGGCACCAAAGGUUUGUGUAAUAUUUUUCUUAUUCAUUUUUUUAUUUUAAUAACAAGGUUUGUGUGACAGGGGCAUUUCUAUAAAUUGCUAGUAUCUGUUUUUUUGCAUUAUCUAUGUUUUAAUUUUUUUCUCUUGUAGAAGCUUUUCACUCCCAUUAAAAUCGAGAAACGGGUAUUUGUUAAUUUUCUGGCAAGUGUGAUGCAAGUUAUCUUUUUAUGGGAGCUCUUAAAAUGUGGAAAAAAUAAAGGAAAUUUGAAGAACUUAAAGAUAAUGAUGAAGAUGAUGACGUGGCUGCCUUUGAAAGAAAGAUGUAAGAUGUUGGAAUGCCUCCAAAUAUUUGGAAACAUGCACAUAAUGAAUUAAGGAGAUUGAAAAAGAUGCAACCUCAAUGUAUCGUAGCUCAUGUGUUUACAUUGAGCUUCUUGCUCACAUGCCAUGGUAGACAACAAGAGACAACAACCGAAGAAGUUGAAUUUGACUUAAAAGUUGUAGAAGAUAUACUUGAUAAUGAACCACUUAUAGCUUAGUUAAAGUCAAACAAAUGAUUAUUGAAUAUCUUUGCAAGGUUAGAAAAACAUUUAUUUUUUCCUAGGUAGUGUUUGUUUGUUAUGAUUAAUGGUGCAAGGAAUGUAAUGUUUCAUUCCAUUAGAUGAAAAAGAAAAUGUUGUUUAUUUUGUCUUAUGUAUGAAAUUUUUAUUAUUUUUUGUGUGCUAUAAUUUAAUUAUUUAUUGUAUUAUAAAAUAUAGAAUCUUAUGAGUAUAUACCCAUGCAAAAUGUGCCA